Molecule: non-coding RNA, 218 nt
Filed under: Humidesulfovibrio mexicanus
Lineage: Bacteria; Pseudomonadati; Thermodesulfobacteriota; Desulfovibrionia; Desulfovibrionales; Desulfovibrionaceae
Source: RNAcentral
CAUAAGCGUUGGUGAGCUGGUGCCUGGACCUGGUCCGGGUGAAAAGGGAAUCCGGUGCAAGUCCGGAACUGCCCCGCAGCGGUAAACGGGUACGCGUCCCCCCAUCCGGAACGGAUGGCAUGACACUGGCGGCAAGCCGGGAAGUCGGCGGACGAAAACGGCGGCCACCGCCCCAAACGCCCGCAAGUCCGAAGACCUGCCCGCUCACGCCCGCUGCA